Cinara cedri is the source of this 238-nucleotide non-coding RNA. The record is from the annotation of a GenBank genome assembly. NCBI's taxonomy places the organism in Eukaryota, Metazoa, Arthropoda, Insecta, Hemiptera, Aphididae.
AAAGCAUUGAUGGAUAAAAAGUAAAAUAGUAGUUUAUUUUGAUUGGGUAUUUUAUUAAUAAAUCUGUUUUAUAUAUGUGUGGCUAUAAAGUAAAUUGCACAAAAGAAUAACCUUCAUUCAUAACCUCUACCAACAGACCCCAAAAAAUAUUUGUUAAAUUUUCUAUUUCUAUAUAAUUGGCCCUUAAAUCACAUGGAUAGGAAUAUAUGGCCAUUGGUUAGUAUUAUUAAAACCGUCU